Loxodonta africana (African savanna elephant) is the source of this 3527-nucleotide long non-coding RNA. RefSeq lists it as uncharacterized. NCBI's taxonomy places the organism in Eukaryota, Metazoa, Chordata, Mammalia, Proboscidea, Elephantidae. The transcript has 4 exons. The record is from RefSeq and is a predicted model, not a curated record.
GGCUGGUGAGGGUGGAGCCUCCUCAAAGCAGGUGGCAGAGCACUGUGUGUGUGUGUGUGUGUGUGUGUGUGUGUGUGUGUGUGUGAGUGAGAGUGAGAGAAAGAGACAGAGGUCUGAGGGGCAUAUGCAAGAGAAAGCAAGACAGAGGUCUGCGGGGCAUAUGCAAAAGGUGAAUUGAGACCAACUGUUGUACCUUAGAUGCCCACUUGCAAGCUUAAGACCCCAGGCGCUAUGCCAAGAACUAGGAGGUGGUACAAGAGAAGCACUAAAAACAAUAUUAGGUCAACUAACUGAGAUGACCCGUGAAACCAGGAACCUAAACCUCCAACCAAGAAGUCAUGUCCCAUGAAGAGUUUGGUUGCACAUAAGUAGCCUCAGCAACUACUCUUCGUUUUUGUUUUUGUGUGCAAGUUCUUGUGUGGAUGUGUGUUUUCAUUUCUCUUGCGUUUGUAUCUAGGAGUGAAAUUGCUGAGUAAUGCAGAAACUCUAUGUUUAACCUUUUGAGGAACCGCCAGACUGUUUUCCAAAGUGGCUGCACCAGUUUACAUUCCCAUUAGCAAUGUCUGAGGGUUCCAAUUUCUCCACAUCCUCAUCAACACCGUUUAUUAUCCUUUUUGCUUAUAAUCAUCCUACUUGGCGUUUCUAACCCACCAAACAGCUGUAUGAAAGAAAGGCCUGGCAAUCUAUUUCCAUGAAGAUUACAGCCAAGAAAACCUUUGGAAGUGGUUUUACCCUAACACAUGGGGCCGCCAUGAGUUUGAACGGACUCCAGGGUGCAGGAGUUUUUACUAUACACCGAUGACCUGUGUUGGUGUUGUUGGGUGCGGUGAGUCAACACAGCGACCCCAUGUGACAGGAUAGAACUGUUCCAUACAGUUCUGUAGUGGUUCCAACUACCAACUUUUCAGUUAGCAACUGAGCACUUAACCAUUGCACCACCAGGGCUCUUUGCAGUGCUGGGAUAUUGUGGGGGGAAGGCCUGAAUGAGAAGAAGGAGCAGCCUGGGAAGAUGUGAGGGAAUGGUGUCCCAGGCAGAAGGAACGGCAUGUGUCAUGGAUUGAAUUGUAUCCCCCCAAAAUAUGUGUUAUAAUUUCUAACCUCUAUGCCUGUGGUUAUAUUCUCAUUUGAGAGUGGGUUGUCUUUGUUAUCUUAACAAGGCAGGAUUAGUGUAGGGUAUAUAUAUGAGAUAUAAAAGAGAUUAAACGCAAGUUAGCAAGCAGAGAUGGGGAAGACAAAUGCCAAGCCACAUGAAGACUGCCCAGAAGCAGAAGCUUAGAAGAACAAGAACCUUCCUCCAGAGCCGACAGAGACAGAAAUCCUUCCUCUACAGCUGGCACCCUGAAUUUGAACUUCUGGCCUCCUAAACUGUGAGAAAAUUAAUUUGUCUGUUAAAGCCAUCCACUUGGGGUAUUUCUGUUAUAGCAGCAGGAGAUAACUAAGACAAUGUUCAAAGGCCCUGAGAGGAGAGGUGGCUGGCAGGCUGCUGGAAGAUAUUUGUCCAGGAGGAGAGAUAUGCAGAGAAGAAUGAUCUGGGCCUUAAGGGCCAAGGCAAGGGUCCAAUUACAAUGGGAAGACGUGGUGAGGAUGUAGGCAAGAAGUUGUUUCAUUUUUUAAAAUAAAAUUAUUUAGGCUUUAGUUCCUGGAUGAAGAACUGAUUGAAAGAGGCAAGACCAGAGAGACCAGCUAGGAGGACAUAACAGUCUUCCAGGACCCUGAUGAAGGUGGCAACUGGAGGGGGGAGGCGGGCGAAGCUGCACAAACCACUGGGGAUAUCAGCACAGAGAGAGUGAGAAGGCGCGCUUUACUUUCUCUUGGGUUGGGCUGAAAGGAGCGCCCACGGCUGUGCAGGAAAUGCUAGCUAUUCCGGGAAAAGGAAAGUGCUCAUGCUGUCAGCUCGGCCCAGGGGUCCACCAGACCGAAAACCUGUAAACAGAGGAUGGGAUGCAAAGUGACUUGCAACCUCUCACCAGAUUCAGUGGUGGGAGAUCAUCUGCUCCGGAUGUUCCCCCACUCAGCGAGAGGCGACAUUCUGCAUCCCACUUUGAAGAGUGGCGUCUGGGGUCUUAAACGCUAGCAAGCAGCCAUCUAAGAUGCAUCAGUUGGUCUCAACCCACCUGGAUCAAAGGAGAGUGAAGAACACCAAGGACACAAGGUGAUUACGAGCCCAAGAGACAGAAAAGGCCACAUGAACCAGAGACUACAUCAUCCUGAGACCAGAAGAACUAGAUGGUGCCUGGCUACAACCGAUGACUACCCUGACAGGGAACACAACAGAGAACCGCUGAGAGAGCAGGGGAGCAGUGGGAUGCAGAUCCCAAAUUCUCAUAAGACCAGACUUAAUGGUCUGACUGAGGCUGGAAGGACCCCGGUGGUCAUUGCACCCAGACCUUCUGUUGCCCCAGGACAGGAACCAUUCCCGAAGCUAACUCUUCAGACAGGGAUUGGACUGGACAAUGGGUUGGAUAGGGAUGCUGGUGAGGAGUGAGCUUCUUGGAUCAGGUGCACACUUGAGACUAUGUUGGAAUCUCCUGCCUAGAGGGGAGAUGAGAGGGUAGAGGGGGUUAGAAGCUGGCGUAAUGGACAGGAAAAGAGAGAGUGGAGGGAGGGAGCGAGUUGUCUCAUUGGGGGAGAGCAAUUGGGAGUAUGUAGCAAGGUGUAUAUGGGUUUUUGUGUGAGAGACUGACUUGAUUUGUAAACUUUCACUUAAAGCACAAUAAAAAUAAAAAACAAACAAAAAAAGCUGGACUAACAGCCAAAAGUUUGGCAGUUCGAACCCACCCAGAGGCACCUCAGAAGACAAACCUGGUGAUCUGCUUCUGAAAAAUCAACCGUGGAAAAUCCUAUGGAGUGGUUCUACCUCCCACACAUGGGGAAUGAACUAGAGAGGCAAUCUACAAUAUAACAAAAAAUUCACCCCGGCCUCCCUGCUGUUGAACCUUAAAAUCAAGCUCCAGCCCAUUCUCAGCUCCUUGUCCCUCCUCCCCACCCCAUCGGGGUCCAGACCCAGGUGCCUGGGACCAGACACCUGGCAGCCCCUGCUCUACAUCCACAUGCUGUGGGAUUGGACACCCCUCAGCCAGCCUCCCUGGGCCUCAGUAUCCCUCACCUGUGCACACAUUUACCACACAGGUAUGUCUUGAGGAGUUAUUGGUAUGUGAGGAUGUGUUCAGAGUAAGGGAUGAGAAACCUCAGCACCAUCAUCAUGAAGCCACCCACUCCACCUAAAUUGUGGGGAGCGUAGGGGUGGGGACAAAAUGACCCACCUGUACCAUGUCCCCAAGGUUGACUUUCAGUUGUAUCAAAGAAUCUGUCUAAAUCUUCAUGCUGUGAAGAGAGGCAGAAUUUGGGACCAACAGCCUGAUCCUUCCUCCUGGGUCCCAGGUGGCCCUGAGUGUCCUCAGUGUCACACAGUAGAACACAGCCCCCUGCCCCCUUCACAGCCCAGAGCCGACAGACAUGGGGAAGAACUUCUUACCAUUCUGGUCUUCAGCAUCCCGACAUGGUUUCUCUGUGGAGGUAAUAGUGAC